GUGGACAGUCUCUCCAGGAAAGGUUUGAGGGAAGCUCCAUGGUUACUUCCUGUGCUAUCCCUGCUCUCUGGAUAAACAGACGAUUUCACUCUUCAGUGCUGACAAACUGCCAAAAAGUGUACGAAAAUUAAUGAAAAACAAGCAACAUGUUUAAAUAGUGUGACACUUUAUAAUUUCCAAUGUUUUGUUGUAAAUUUAAUGUUAUUCAGGGGGCAUGAAUGAGGGCUACCAAUAGCACCUGCUAAUCACCAAUUUUAACCUCAAGCCUUGAGUUUGUCUUGCAUUUUUUGUUUUCCACCAUCCUUGCCUCCUCCCCCACUACACUUUCCUCUUCUAUUCAGCUACUCCACCUCUGCAACUGCACUCUCCUCUGCAACGGUCUCCCUGUUGUGGAUCCCCCUUGGGGGAAGCAUCUGUUGCUUCCCAGCCUUGGAGACUGAACGAUUCGGUCUCACCUCCAAGAUGGAGGCCCUGCACGAGCCAAAGGAUUCCAGACCUCCGUAGCGCAGAGUCUGAUGGCCUUACAGCAGCCUCGAGCCAUCUCCCGCGUUUGUUUUUCAAGUGACGGACACUGGGUCAAGACCCGCCCACCUGCUGAUUGAGGAUGAGGAUAGCCAAUCACUUGCUGCCCUUCCCAUCAACCAAGCUUAGCAGGCAGCAAGUUUCAAUCGAGCACCUGUCUGUAAACUAUAAUUCAUUCAUAGAAAUCAACUCCAAAAAGACACACAAUAAACCCAUUCCCACAUACAAAUGACAUUAACACUAAUUACCUAUUGUGCAGGGCAAUCUCCCUGCCACAGGUCUUUAAAGUGUGUGUUAUAAUUCUAAAAUAUUAUUUUGGGA
Molecule: long non-coding RNA, 843 nt
Organism: Polyodon spathula (Mississippi paddlefish)
Lineage: Eukaryota; Metazoa; Chordata; Actinopteri; Acipenseriformes; Polyodontidae
Exons: 3
Source: RefSeq, a predicted model, not a curated record